RNAcentral lists this ribosomal RNA (661 nucleotides) under Stenotrophomonas maltophilia. RNAcentral describes it as "bacterial SSU rRNA". It matches the Rfam family "Bacterial small subunit ribosomal RNA", at positions 123 to 779 of the family's 1533-position model. The record is from RNAcentral. Lineage: Bacteria; Pseudomonadati; Pseudomonadota; Gammaproteobacteria; Lysobacterales; Lysobacteraceae.
AAUCUACUUUUUCGUGGGGGAUAACGUAGGGAAACUUACGCUAAUACCGCAUACGACCUACGGGUGAAAGCAGGGGACCUUCGGACCUUGCGCGAUUGAAUGAGCCGAUGUCGGAUUAGCUAGUUGGCGGGGUAAAGGCCCACCAAGGCGACGAUCCGUAGCUGGUCUGAGAGGAUGAUCAGCCACACUGGAACUGAGACACGGUCCAGACUCCUACGGGAGGCAGCAGUGGGGAAUAUUGGACAAUGGGCGCAAGCCUGAUCCAGCCAUACCGCGUGGGUGAAGAAGGCCUUCGGGUUGUAAAGCCCUUUUGUUGGGAAAGAAAUCCAGCUGGCUAAUACCCGGUUGGGAUGACGGUACCCAAAGAAUAAGCACCGGCUAACUUCGUGCCAGCAGCCGCGGUAAUACGAAGGGUGCAAGCGUUACUCGGAAUUACUGGGCGUAAAGCGUGCGUAGGUGGUCGUUUAAGUCCGUUGUGAAAGCCCUGGGCUCAACCUGGGAACUGCAGUGGAUACUGGGCGACUAGAGUGUGGUAGAGGGUAGCGGAAUUCCUGGUGUAGCAGUGAAAUGCGUAGAGAUCAGGAGGAACAUCCAUGGCGAAGGCAGCUACCUGGACCAACACUGACACUGAGGCACGAAAGCGUGGGGAGCAAACAGGAUU